RNAcentral lists this small nucleolar RNA (88 nucleotides) under Oryza glumipatula. RNAcentral's name for it is "snoRNA snoZ182". Lineage: Eukaryota; Viridiplantae; Streptophyta; Magnoliopsida; Poales; Poaceae. The record is from RNAcentral.
GGUGCGCCUAUGAUGAAUGUUUCAACCUGAUUUGAACCACUGGGCAAGUAAAUCUCACUAGGGUUUUUUUUUUCUUCUGAGGCAUAUU